ACGGGUGAGUAACACGUGGGUGAUCUGCCCUGCACUCUGGAAUAAGCUUGGGAAACUGGGUCUAAUACCGGAUAUGACCACAGCAUGCAUGUGUUGUGGUGGAAAGAUUUAUCGGUGCAGGAUGGGCCCGCGGCCUAUCAGCUUGUUGGUGGGGUAAUGGCCUACCAAGGCGACGACGGGUAGCCGACCUGAGAGGGUGACCGGCCACACUGGGACUGAGACACGGCCCAGACUCCUACGGGAGGCAGCAGUGGGGAAUAUUGCACAAUGGGCGGAAGCCUGAUGCAGCGACGCCGCGUGAGGGAUGAAGGCCUUCGGGUUGUAAACCUCUUUCAGCAGGGACGAAGCGUGAGUGACGGUACCUGCAGAAGAAGCACCGGCUAACUACGUGCCAGCAGCCGCGGUAAUACAUAGGGUGCGAGCGUUGUCCGGAAUUACUGGGCGUAAAGAGUUCGUAGGCGGUUUGUCGCGUCGUUUGUGAAAACCCGGGGCUCAACUUCGGGCUUGCAGGCGAUACGGGCAGACUUGAGUGUUUCAGGGGAGACUGGAAUUCCUGGUGUAGCGGUGAAAUGCGCAGA
This 578-nucleotide ribosomal RNA is filed under the name uncultured Rhodococcus sp. Its description in RNAcentral is "bacterial SSU rRNA". It matches the Rfam family "Bacterial small subunit ribosomal RNA", at positions 102 to 694 of the family's 1533-position model. Lineage: Bacteria; Bacillati; Actinomycetota; Actinomycetes; Mycobacteriales; Nocardiaceae. The record is from RNAcentral.